Molecule: ribosomal RNA, 433 nt
Filed under: uncultured bacterium
Lineage: Bacteria
Description: partial 16S ribosomal RNA
Rfam family: Bacterial small subunit ribosomal RNA
Source: RNAcentral
AACGAACGCUGGCGGCAUGCCUAACACAUGCAAGUCGAACGAUCCCUUCGGGGAUAGUGGCGCACGGGUGCGUAACGCGUGGGAACCUGCCCUUAGGUUCGGAAUAACUCAGAGAAAUUUGAGCCAAUACCGGAUAAUGUCUUCGGACCAAAGAUUUAUUGCCUUUGGUUGGGCCCGCGUUGGAUUAGCUAGUUGGUGGGGUAAUGGCCUACCAAGGCGACGAUCCAUAGCUGGUCUGAGAGGAUGAUCAGCCACACUGGGACUGAGACACGGCCCAGACUCCUACGGGAGGCAGCAGUGGGGAAUAGUGGACAGUGGGCGAAAGCCUGAUCCAGCAAUGCCGCGUGAGUGAUGAAGGCCUUGGGGUUGUAAAGCUCUUUUACCCGGGAUGAUAAUGACAGUACCGGGAGAAUAAGCCCCGGCUAACUCCGUG